UACGGAGGGGGCUAGCGUUGUUCGGAAUUACUGGGCGUAAAGCGCGCGUAGGCGGACCUGCAAGUCGGGGGUGAAAGCCCGAGGCUCAACCUCGGAACUGCCUUCGAUACUGCGGGUCUCGAGUCCGGGAGAGGUGAGUGGAAUUCCUAGUGUAGAGGUGAAAUUCGUGAGAUAUUAGGAAGAACACCAGUGGCGAAGGCGG
This 202-nucleotide ribosomal RNA is filed under the name uncultured bacterium. Its description in RNAcentral is "partial 16S ribosomal RNA". It matches the Rfam family "Bacterial small subunit ribosomal RNA", at positions 524 to 724 of the family's 1533-position model. The record is from RNAcentral.